Molecule: ribosomal RNA, 253 nt
Filed under: uncultured bacterium
Lineage: Bacteria
Description: partial 16S ribosomal RNA
Rfam family: Bacterial small subunit ribosomal RNA
Source: RNAcentral
UACAUAGGGGGCAAGCGUUAUCCGGAAUUACUGGGUGUAAAGGGUGCGUAGGCGGUCAUGUAAGUCAGAUGUGAAAACCCAAGGCUUAACUUUGGGAAUGCAUUUGAAACUAUGUGACUAGAGUACAGGAGAGGUAAGUGGAAUUCCUAGUGUAGCGGUUAAAUGCGUAGAUAUUAGGAAGAACACCAGUGGCGAAGGCGACUUACUGGACUGAAACUGACGCUGAGGCACGAAAGCGUGGGGAGCGAACAGG